This 136-nucleotide ribosomal RNA is filed under the name uncultured bacterium. RNAcentral's name for it is "partial 16S ribosomal RNA". It matches the Rfam family "Bacterial small subunit ribosomal RNA", at positions 393 to 525 of the family's 1533-position model. The record is from RNAcentral.
CAUGCCGCGUGNAAGGAAGACGGCCCUCUGGGUUGUAAACUUCUUUUGUACGGGAAUAACCCUCCGAACGUGUUCGGAGCUGAAGGUACCGUAAGAAUAAGGAUCGGCUAACUCCGUGCCAGCAGCCGCGGUAAUA